GAUGAACGCUGGCGGCGUGCCUAAUACAUGCAAGUCGAGCGAACAGACGAGGAGCUUGCUCCUCUGACGUUAGCGGCGGACGGGUGAGUAACACGUGGAUAACCUACCUAUAAGACUGGGAUAACUUCGGGAAACCGGAGCUAAUACCGGAUAAUAUAUUGAACCGCAUGGUUCAAUAGUGAAAGACGGUUUUGCUGUCACUUAUAGAUGGAUCCGCGCCGCAUUAGCUAGUUGGUAAGGUAACGGCUUACCAAGGCAACGAUGCGUAGCCGACCUGAGAGGGUGAUCGGCCACACUGGACCUGAGACACGGUCCAGACUCCUACGGGAGGCAGCAGUAGGGAAUCUUCCGCAAUGGGCGAAAGCUUGACGGAGCAACGCCGCGUGAGUGAUGAAGGUCUUCGGCUCGUAAAACUCUGUUAUUAGGGAAGAACAAAUGUGUAAGUAACUAUGCACGUCUUGACGGUACCUAAUCAGAAAGCCACGGCUAACUACGU
Molecule: ribosomal RNA, 496 nt
Filed under: uncultured bacterium
Lineage: Bacteria
Description: partial 16S ribosomal RNA
Rfam family: Bacterial small subunit ribosomal RNA
Source: RNAcentral